GGACUACCGGGGUAUCUAAUCCUGUUUGAUCCCCGCACUUUCGCAUCUCAGCGUCAAUAUUAGGCCAGAUAGCCGCCUUCGCCACCGGUGUUCCUCCUGAUAUCUACGUAUUUCACCACUACACCAGGAAUUCCACUAUCCUCUCCUAUAUUCAAGCCCACCAGUAUCAAGUGCACGUCCUGGGUUGAGCCCAGGGAUUUCACACCUGACUUGAUAGGCCGCCUACAUGCGCUUUACGCCCAAUGAUUCCGAACAACGCUAGGACCCCUCGUCUUACCGCGGCUGCUGGCAC
Molecule: ribosomal RNA, 292 nt
Filed under: uncultured bacterium
Lineage: Bacteria
Description: partial 16S ribosomal RNA
Source: RNAcentral